Molecule: ribosomal RNA, 790 nt
Filed under: Flavimobilis soli
Lineage: Bacteria; Bacillati; Actinomycetota; Actinomycetes; Micrococcales; Jonesiaceae
Description: bacterial SSU rRNA
Rfam family: Bacterial small subunit ribosomal RNA
Source: RNAcentral
UGCAAGUCGAACGGUGAAGGUGGAACUUGCUCUGCUGGAUCAGUGGCGAACGGGUGAGUAACACGUGAGUAACCUGCCCCUCACUUCGGGAUAACCUCGGGAAAUCGUGGCUAAUACCGGAUACGAGGCACCUUCGCAUGGGGUGUGCCUGGAAAGAUUUAUCGGUGGGGGAUGGACUCGCGGCCUAUCAGCUUGUUGGUGGGGUAAUGGCCUACCAAGGCGACGACGGGUAGCCGGCCUGAGAGGGCGACCGGCCACACUGGGACUGAGAUACGGCCCAGACUCCUACGGGAGGCAGCAGUGGGGAAUAUUGCACAAUGGGCGCAAGCCUGAUGCAGCGACGCCGCGUGGGGGAUGAAGGCCUUCGGGUUGUAAACCCCUUUCAGCAGGGAAGAAGCGCAAGUGACGGUACCUGCAGAAGAAUCGCCGGCUAACUACGUGCCAGCAGCCGCGGUAAUACGUAGGGCGCAAGCGUUGUCCGGAAUUAUUGGGCGUAAAGAGCUCGUAGGCGGUUUGUCGCGUCUGGUGUGAAAACUCAAGGCUCAACCUUGAGCUUGCACCGGGUACGGGCAGACUAGAGUGCGGUAGGGGUGACUGGAAUUCCUGGUGUAGCGGUGGAAUGCGCAGAUAUCAGAGGAACACCGAUGGCGAAGGCAGGUCACUGGGCCGCAACUGACGCUGAGGAGCGAAAGCAUGGGGAGCGAACACGAUUAGAUACCCUGGUAGUCCAUGCCGUAAACGUUGGGCACUAUGUGUGGGGCUCAUUCCACGAGUUCCGUGCCGCAGCAAC